UUGGGGGCACCCUCGGGGUCCCCACCUCCAGGGCCAGGGUCCGUGUCUCUCUCCUCUCCAGCUGUGACCCAGACACCUGAUAUCGGGGUCCAGGGGACCCUGGAAUCUGGCCGCCCCGGGAUCAUCACCUGUGCCCUGCCCACGGCCUCUGAGUGGUGCACACCCCCCACCUCUCCUGGAUGGGGGCCGCCCUCCGCUCCCUGCGGUCCAGGCCCCCCACCUCCUCAGUGCUGACCUUCACCCCGGGGCCCAGGGACCACGGCACAGACCUCACGUGUCGAGUGGCCUUCCCCGGAGCUGGAGCCGGCGUGAGCUUCCAGAGCACCAUCAGGCUGAACGUGUCAUGUGAGUGCUGGGCCACGAUGGGGGGCCCUGAGGGUGGUGGGGCCGUCGGGGGGAGGGGUUGGGGGUAAGGGGGGGAGGCCCGAGGUGGGACACUCAGGGACUGUCUGUGGAGGGCAUGCUGGGGUCAAGAAGAAGAGGCUGGAGUUCCCACGGUGGCGCAAUGGGAUCUGUGGUGUCUCUGCAAUACUAGGACACAGGUUCCAUCCCCGGCCUGGCACGUGGGUGAAGGGAUCCUGCACUGGCGCAGCUGUGCCAAAGGUCGAAGCUGCAGCUUGGAUCUGAUCUCUGGUCCGGGAACUCCACAGCCUCGGGGCAGCAAAAAAAGAAGAAAAAGAGACCACACAGACCGCAUCAUCUUGCCUGUGACCACUCCAGCGUCCUGCAGGAGGCCGAUUCUUUCUUUCUGUUCCAGAUGCUCCAGAGAAUCUGACCGUCCACGUCUUCCGGGGAAAGAGCACAGGCUGAGCUGGACCCGGGGGAACCUGACCCUGAGCCCCUCCCAGCCCCUGGAUCCCGGGGUCCUGGAGCUGCCCCGCAUGGUCUUGGGGGACGGAGGGGAGUUCACCUGCUGAGCUCAGCACCGGAGCGUCUCGUACCAUGUCUCCUUGAACCUAGUCAUGCAGGGUGAGCGGACCUGCGCCUCUCAUGGGAAGUCUGAUGACGGGCCCCCACGUUCCAAGCUGCAUCUGCAAACUACACCACAGCUCAUGGCAACACUGGAUCCCUAACCCACUGAGCAAGGCCAGGGAUAGAACCUGCGUCCUCAUGGUUCCUAGUCGGAUUCAUUUCUGCUGCACCACAACAGGAACUCCUGGGUUCCGAGACCAGCUCAGCAGGUUGGGGCUGAAGAACGGGUGCUGUGAAACAUAAGGAAUAAAGUUAACAUCAAACAAGACA
This 1242-nucleotide long non-coding RNA is filed under the name Sus scrofa (pig). Its description in RNAcentral is "lncRNA (ENSSSCG00025019640.1)". The record is from RNAcentral. Lineage: Eukaryota; Metazoa; Chordata; Mammalia; Artiodactyla; Suidae.